CAGGCACUUUUAUUUGCUUGAUCUUAUUUAUUUUUUCUUGGCUCAUGACAUUUGUCUAUGAUUUUGCCCCAUGUGACAAAAGAUUUGGACACACCUGGUGUCUGGUUUCAGCUGUGAAAUCCCCAAGUUUUCAAGUCCAUGAGGUGGCAGAGCUUUGUCUGCAGGCAUCACCAAUCCAUCCAUGAACCUUUCUUUGAACCUUUCUUUGAACCAUACUUUGAACCGAUUCAUGGACCGUCAGUAGUACCAGGCAUUGUGGGACUGGCUAAGUCUGUUCCAUGAUUGGCUUUUUGCCCUCCCAUCACUCUCUGUUGCUAUCAGAAAUGCUGAGUUGACCCUCUUUUUUCAGAGGCCCCAGCCCUGCACUCACCCUCCCGACCAGAACAGUUUGCGGCAUCCUAUUAUUCCACAUAGUUGUUUUUACAUCCUGGCUGAACUUUCCUGUGUGAGAGGAUCAUAUAUGUGUGUCUGCAAGGACACCAGGGGCAUAACCUAACAAAUGUGUGGGGUCAAUUGGUUUCCCAAAGGGACUCUACUGAGAAGCUGGCUCACCAAGUCACGGCCCAGAUUGCUGCUGCUGAUUGCAGGGUUAAAGAGGCCCCAGGUGACCCUCAUGAGGAGGAAAAGGAUGAAGCGCACAAAAGUAGCAAAGGCCACGUAAGCGAACCUGCAGCCGAAUGCCCCACUUCUGCUGAGUUCUUGACAGUGAGGAGUUGCUUAUGGAAAUCAAAGGAAAGGACAACCUUUGCGUAACAUAAAUGCUCCAAAAAGAACUAAAAUGCAACAAGUGCUAAACAAAAGGAAGACAGAGAACAAACUGAAGAGAUUGAGAUCUCCAGACUAAAUCAGAAAGCUUUCUUGACCACCCACUUCUGUCACUGUACUGACUGUGACUUUGUACAUCUUUCCUAUAGAUGUGUUGGUAGAUCGCCCCUGCUGUCAUUUUCCUAGUUUAACUCUAUCUGGUUUGAGUUCGUACGCAGCUCAAACUAGUUACUGAUUAAACUCUGUAUGUUUAACCCACCACUGUCUCACAUUCUUCAGUCAAUGCUUUUCAAAUAGCAAUUACUUCACUGCAUGAUAAUGCUUUGCAUACCAGUCACUACAACUGAUACUACUAAUACUACUACCACCAGGCCUGAUAACUAGGAGAAAAUUAAUUUACCAUUUUGUGCUCGAAUCUUCUUUCAUAUUCUUCCCCUGCUGUCUCUUACAUAUUAUAUAUAUAUUUUUAGUUUUUAUUUUAUUUCUUAAACCAGGGUUCAGAUAAUAUCCUUCUAUUGAAGGCUAACAGUGACACAAAUCUCCAAAAUUAAUGUUAUUUAAUUCAUUGUUACUAAUACAUUUUAAAUAUUGCCUAGAUAUAAAUAAAUAUUUCCUUCAAUAUAUUUUAAAGAUCUCAAUUUAUUACUUGGAGUGAUUAAAUUGGUGAAUCAAAUUAUAAUUUCAGCUGAAUAUAUAUUAAAAUCAUAUAUAAAAAUGUAAUUAUGUUUUUGUUUCCAGUGAUCCAGUACAUGUGAUGCAAAAUCAUUUAUGCCUACAGCACACUAAUUGGCUUUUCUACAGCAUAGUGUUAGUCCUGCUUAGUAAUUCUUUAUUUUAAAUUUUAAUGUUUUUUUAUUAUUAUUUAGCAUAAAGAAAGAUUAAAGUGUAACCAAAUCAACCUUCCUUUGAGACAGCUUAGCUCCGCCCCUUGACAAUUUUUCAAAUUCCACCGAAGUGGGUGGAGCCAAGAUACACAAAGGGGCGUGGCUUUGUGCGGGGCUGAGUGGAGGGGCUUUAGCAGGGCUAUGAACAGAACAAGAAAAAACACUUUUGCCAACUUAAUGAUUUUUGCAAUUAUAUUUAUCAACUCUUCGGACCCCUCUGGUGACUUUAGUUCCAAAAGAGCGACUAGUGAGAAGUUUAUUGACUUUUUUCUUCGUUAUU
Molecule: long non-coding RNA, 1929 nt
Organism: Xiphophorus hellerii (green swordtail)
Lineage: Eukaryota; Metazoa; Chordata; Actinopteri; Cyprinodontiformes; Poeciliidae
Exons: 3
Source: RefSeq, a predicted model, not a curated record